CUGAACAUUGAGCCUUGAUGUGUAGGAUAGGUGGGAGGCUUUGAAGUGUGGACGCCAGUCUGCAUGGAGCCGACCUUGAAAUACCACCCUUUAAUGUUUGAUGUUCUAA
This 109-nucleotide ribosomal RNA is filed under the name Escherichia coli. Its description in RNAcentral is "23S ribosomal RNA from Escherichia coli (PDB 3J46, chain 4)". It matches the Rfam family "Bacterial large subunit ribosomal RNA", at positions 2118 to 2225 of the family's 2925-position model. The record is from RNAcentral. Lineage: Bacteria; Pseudomonadati; Pseudomonadota; Gammaproteobacteria; Enterobacterales; Enterobacteriaceae.